This 235-nucleotide ribosomal RNA is filed under the name uncultured bacterium. RNAcentral describes it as "partial 16S ribosomal RNA". It matches the Rfam family "Bacterial small subunit ribosomal RNA", at positions 118 to 351 of the family's 1533-position model. The record is from RNAcentral.
UGAGUAACCUGCCCUUAACUCUGGGAUAAGCCUGGGAAACUGGGUCCAAUACCGGAUAUGACUCCUCAUCGCAUGGGUGGGGGGUGGAAAGCUUUAUUGUGGUUUUGGAUGGACUCGCGGCCUAUCAGCUUGUUGGUGAGGUAAUGGCUCACCAAGGCGACGACGGGUAGCCGGCUGAGAGGGCGACCGGCCACACUGGGACUGAGACACGGCCCAGACUCCGUACGGGAGGCAG